AUGGGGGGGCUGAGGGACCUCGGGAUGGCCCCGAUCCCGUGGGAAUCCCAGCCCUGCCCUGGGAUCACCGGGAUCGCCCUGAGAUCCAGGGGGGACCCGGCCCCAGAUCCAGGGAAUGUUCCCAGGAUCCCUGAUCCAGGCCCAGAUCCAGGAAUCCCAUCCCAGAUCCAGGAAUCACAUCCCAGCUCAGAGAUCCAGCCCCAAACCCAGGAAUCCCAUCCUGGAUCCCUGGUCCAGAUCAGGAAUCUCAUCCCAGAUCCCUGUCCCAGAUCAGGAAUCCCAUCCCAAACCUGUGAAUCCCAUGCCAGACCCAGGAAUUCCACCCCAAACUCAGGAAUCCCAUCCAUAAUCAGGAAUCCCUUCCCAAACCCAGGAAUUCCAUCCCAGAUCCCCGUCCCAGGUCCAAGAAUCCCAUCCCAAACCCAGGAAUCCCAUCCCUGA
This 441-nucleotide long non-coding RNA is filed under the name Zonotrichia albicollis (white-throated sparrow). RNAcentral's name for it is "lncRNA (ENSZALG00000001469.1)". Lineage: Eukaryota; Metazoa; Chordata; Aves; Passeriformes; Passerellidae. The record is from RNAcentral.